AGCAGUCGCCACGGUAAUACGUAGGGGGCGAGCGUUGUCCGAAGUUACUGGGCGUAAAGGGCUCGCAGGCGGUUUCUUAAGUCUGAUGUGAAAGCCCCAGGCUCAACCGGGGAGGGUCAUUGGAAACUGGGAAACUUGAGUGCAGAAGAGGAGAGUGGAAUUCCACGUGUAGCGGUGAAAUGCGUAGAGAUGUGGAGGAACACCAGUGGCGAAGGCGACUCUCUGGUCUGUAACUGACGCUGAGGAGCGAAAGCGUGGGGAGCGAACAGGAUUAGAUACCCCGGUAGUCCCUGUCUCUUAUAC
This 303-nucleotide ribosomal RNA is filed under the name uncultured bacterium. RNAcentral describes it as "partial 16S ribosomal RNA". It matches the Rfam family "Bacterial small subunit ribosomal RNA", at positions 507 to 807 of the family's 1533-position model. The record is from RNAcentral.